CUCUUACCAACAGCUUACAGGGAUAUAUGCCACACCUUUGGUUUCUUGGAGCAGCACAGUCUAUGCAUGCAGCGUUCCUCCAUUCAAAACUUUAAACAUUUAGUGUGUGUGUGUGUGUGUGUGUGUGUGUGUGUGUGUGUGUGUGUGUGUGUGUGUGUGCGCGCGCGCGCACGUGCUCGAGAGCGCAUGCGCACGUGCCUGUGCCUGUGCCUGUGCCUGUGCCUGUGUGUGAAUUGUGUGUAGUAGUUAGGAAUUACUGAAUUGCUCAUAAUGGCUUGGAGCUUGCUAAGGUCAGACCAGCCUUGAUUUGGGAAUCCAACUUUCUCUGAAAUGGUCCUGGGAUUGAACACAGCACCAGCCCUCCCUGCGUGAUACUUAACAGUCUAAAUUUUUUUUUACACGUACUUGCACAUCAAAGUACUUUACCUAGAUUUUAACUUCUUUUGAAGGCUGUGAUUGCGUCUCAUCGACUUUAUGUCUCUAGUAGGGACGUUCAACAGGGUCUGUCAUGCUACCAUUCCUCAUGAAGGUAUGAAGAAUACACACAGGGAGCUGUUGGAGGAUUUCCUUAGGUGAGCUGAUUUUUGCUACUUCACAGUUCUUGUAGGGUGCAUUGUGAGAUCGUGUGGCAUAAAUUUCCUUCCAGGACUGUUCCAAAGGAGGGAGAUCUCCAUGGCUGUCUUAGGAUCGUGACUGUCCUGGGGACAUUAAAGUGCAUCGAUCUGGUUAAACGUCAAAUGGCCCAGUGAAGACAUUAUUCCUCCACUCUGGUCCUUGGUUUUAGCUCGUUUCCCAUGCAUGGCUUUCUCCUCUUUUUCUAAUGCAUGUGUGGUGACACCACCCUCUUUAAUCAUGGCAAAUCAUUUCAAAAUCCCUGUAGUAUGUUAUCAACAUGGUCUUAAGGAAUGGUCUUAUUUGACUUUCGGGGCUGGCAUUAUGUACUUCUGUGCCAUAAAAAAUAAAAAAAACUUUGAUUUUCU
RNAcentral lists this long non-coding RNA (980 nucleotides) under Rattus norvegicus (Norway rat). Its description in RNAcentral is "long non-coding RNA NONRATT006401". The record is from RNAcentral. Lineage: Eukaryota; Metazoa; Chordata; Mammalia; Rodentia; Muridae.